AUUGAACGCUGGCGGCAUGCCUUACACAUGCAAGUCGAACGGUAACGGGCCUUCGGGUGCCGACGAGUGGCGAACGGGUGCGUAAUACAUCGGAACGUGCCCGAUCGUGGGGGAUAACGAGGCGAAAGCUUUGCUAAUACCGCAUACGAUCUACGGAUGAAAGCAGGGGACCGCAAGGCCUUGCGCGGACGGAGCGGCCGAUGGCAGAUUAGGUAGUUGGUGGGAUAAAAGCUUACCAAGCCGACGAUCUGUAGCUGGUCUGAGAGGAUGAUCAGCCACACUGGGACUGAGACACGGCCCAGACUCCUACGGGAGGCAGCAGUGGGGAAUUUUGGACAAUGGGCGCAAGCCUGAUCCAGCCAUGCCGCGUGCAGGAUGAGGGCCUUCGGGUUGUAAACUGCUUUUGUACGGAACGAAAAGCCUUCUUUUAAUACAGGAGGGUCAUGACGGUACCGUAAGAAUAAGCACCGGCUAACUACGUG
This 482-nucleotide ribosomal RNA is filed under the name uncultured bacterium. Its description in RNAcentral is "partial 16S ribosomal RNA". It matches the Rfam family "Bacterial small subunit ribosomal RNA", at positions 30 to 507 of the family's 1533-position model. The record is from RNAcentral.